This 539-nucleotide long non-coding RNA is filed under the name Rosa chinensis. Its description in RNAcentral is "sRNA RchiOBHm_Chr7g0194591". Lineage: Eukaryota; Viridiplantae; Streptophyta; Magnoliopsida; Rosales; Rosaceae. The record is from RNAcentral.
UAAUCUAGAAUAAUCACCCGACAAUUAAUAAAUCAUCUUUUCAUGUUGAAAUAAUCGUCUUUGGCAUAAUGUAUGAACUAAUGCAUAAUAGUAUACAAACGUACCAUAUUCACUUCUUCAUUCCUCUGUGGGGGAAGAUUUUUUAAGAUCAUUGGUGACAAAUACAAGGUACAUGACGAUCAUCAUGCUGAGGCUUUUAAGGAUCUGUAGUCUUUGUUGCUGUUGAGUGGACCUUGCUUUGAAGGCGUUAUGCAAGGAUAUUCCCCAAGAGGAAUGAAGGAGGACGCCCUCUAAUUUCUUGCUUUAGGAGCUUUGAUCUUAGCCCUUUUGGCCUCAAUAUCAGUUGCUCAUAGAGAUGUGAGGACACCAGCAGAAACCCACCCGCCAAUACUGACAAUAUGAUCUUUGCUACUACCACUAACAGAUCUUCUUCAAUUUUUCUGACCUUCCAUCUACUGCUGCUUGUAAAUCUUCCUUUCUCAUCCUAUGGUAUAUGACUGUUAUUCUCACUGAGGUCUAUGGCUCUGUUUAACUAUUAA